RNAcentral lists this unclassified non-coding RNA (520 nucleotides) under uncultured Glomus. RNAcentral describes it as "SSU rRNA". It matches the Rfam family "Eukaryotic small subunit ribosomal RNA", at positions 569 to 1089 of the family's 1831-position model. Lineage: Eukaryota; Fungi; Glomeromycota; Glomeromycetes; Glomerales; Glomeraceae. The record is from RNAcentral.
AGCAGCCGCGGUAAUUCCAGCUCCAAUAGCGUAUAUUAAAGUUGCUGCAGUUAAAAAGCUCGUAGUUGAAUUUCGGGACCGAUAUAUCGGUCGUGCCUCGGUACGUACUGGUAUUUUCGGUUUCUCCCUUCUGAUGAACCUUGAUGUCAUUAAUUUGGUGUCUUGGGGAAUCAGGACUGUUACUUUGAAAAAAUUUAGAGUGUUUAAAGCAGGCUCACGCUUGAAUACAUUAGCAUGGAAUAAUGAAAUAGGACGUUUGAUUCUAUUUUGUUGGUUUCUAGGAUCGACGUAAUGAUUAAUAGGGAUAGUUGGGGGCAUUAGUAUUCAAUUGUCAGAGGUGAAAUUCUUGGAUUUAUUGAAGACUAACUACUGCGAAAGCAUUUGCCAAGGAUGUUUUCAUUAAUCAAGAACGAAAGUUAGGGGAUCGAAGACGAUCAGAUACCGUCGUAGUCUUAACCAUAAACUAUGCCGACUAGGGAUCGGAUGAUGUUAAUUUUUUUAAUGACUCAUUCGGCGCCUU